This 140-nucleotide non-coding RNA is filed under the name Streptomyces mutabilis. Lineage: Bacteria; Bacillati; Actinomycetota; Actinomycetes; Kitasatosporales; Streptomycetaceae. The record is from RNAcentral.
GGUGUUCGCGGGCCGUGGUGGACUGCCGAAGCCAAUACGGCGACAGGAGAGGAAGCCGGUGCGAAUCCGGCGCGGUCCCGCCACUGUGACCGGGGAGCGGUCCCCGGGAGCCAGGAACUCUCAUCGCCGUUCUCUUCUAA